Long non-coding RNA from Lathyrus oleraceus (garden pea), 617 nucleotides. RefSeq lists it as uncharacterized. The transcript has 2 exons. The record is from RefSeq and is a predicted model, not a curated record. Lineage: Eukaryota; Viridiplantae; Streptophyta; Magnoliopsida; Fabales; Fabaceae.
AAUUUUAUUUAACUAAAUAAAAGAAAAAAUAAGUAAAUAACUAAGGUUCAAGAGAAUGUGACGUUACUGCACAUUUCUUCUGUGCAGAUUUGGAAUUUAUAGUAAGGGUAAUGAUAACCCAAAAACAAAUCCAUUCCUUUCUCUCUUCACUAAAUCCAUAUAAAAAAAGCACUUCUUCGACACAAACAAAUCCCUCUCGUUCUCCUUUAGUGAAAAAAAAAUGAUUCCUCCCCGAACCGUGAAUUAUGAUGACACAAUAAUGAUGGCGGCAGAGGUUACAGCUGGUGGUUGCAGCAUCGCAGAUCCGAUGCAAAGGUCGGCGUGUACGGAGGUUCACAGUGGAUUCAGAUGACGGCGUCGCGGCUGUUUCCGAGCAAACGUCAAGGUAGAUUUGCAGUUGUAUUUCUGGCCGACGGGGGUGGUGAUCGAUCGUGUGCUUUACAACAAAGGGAUUGCCUACUGGGAUUUGGGUUGCAGAGAUGGUAACAACUUUAGUCAUAGUGAUUUUGUACGACUAUGGAUGAUUGGAAAGUGUGAAUAUGUGUGCUAUUUAUAGAUGGAGAAUUAGGUCAAGAAUUAAAUGAGAUUAUCUAUUUUUAGAAAUAUCUAAUUUGACC